RNAcentral lists this non-coding RNA (45 nucleotides) under Schistosoma mansoni. Lineage: Eukaryota; Metazoa; Platyhelminthes; Trematoda; Strigeidida; Schistosomatidae. The record is from RNAcentral.
AUCUGGCUGACGAGUCCCGAAUAGGCCGAAACGCGCAUCCUGGAU